GUGCCAGCAGCCGCGGUAAUACGUAGGUGGCAAGCGUUGUCCGGAAUUACUGGGCGUAAAGCGCGCGCAGGCGGUUUCUUAAGUCUGAUGUGAAAUCCCACGGCUUAACCGUGGAGGGUCAUUGGAAACUGGGAGACUUGAGUGCAGAUGAGGAAAGUGGAAUUCCAAGUGUAGCGGUGAAAUGCGUAGAGAUUUGGAGGAACACCAGUGGCGAAGGCGGCUUUCUUGUCUGCACCUGACGCUGAG
Molecule: ribosomal RNA, 246 nt
Filed under: uncultured bacterium
Lineage: Bacteria
Description: partial 16S rRNA
Rfam family: Bacterial small subunit ribosomal RNA
Source: RNAcentral